GAUCGGGAGUGCGUAGGCUAUACAAAACCCGAAUGGGGAAAUCCUUCCGCCGCGCUGAGUGGCGGUUUGAGAACUCCCGAUCCUUUUCCU
RNAcentral lists this non-coding RNA (90 nucleotides) under Halodesulfovibrio spirochaetisodalis. RNAcentral describes it as "sRNA-Xcc1". It matches the Rfam family "sRNA-Xcc1". The record is from Rfam by way of RNAcentral. Lineage: Bacteria; Pseudomonadati; Thermodesulfobacteriota; Desulfovibrionia; Desulfovibrionales; Desulfovibrionaceae.